RNAcentral lists this ribosomal RNA (495 nucleotides) under uncultured bacterium. Its description in RNAcentral is "bacterial SSU rRNA". It matches the Rfam family "Bacterial small subunit ribosomal RNA", at positions 903 to 1397 of the family's 1533-position model. The record is from RNAcentral.
AAAGGAAUUGACGGGGACCCGCACAAGCAGCGGAGCAUGUGGUUUAAUUCGAAGCAACGCGAAGAACCUUACCAGGUCUUGACAUCCUUCUGACCGACCCUUAGCCGGGUCUUUCCUUCGGGACAGAAGAGACAGGUGGUGCAUGGUUGUCGUCAGCUCGUGUCGUGAGAUGUUGGGUUAAGUCCCGCAACGAGCGCAACCCUUGCCUUUAGUUGCCAUCAAGUAAUGUUGGGCACUCUAGAGGGACUGCCGGUGACAAACCGGAGGAAGGUGGGGAUGACGUCAAAUCAUCAUGCCCCUUAUGAUCUGGGCUACACACGUGCUACAAUGGUCGGUACAACGGGCAGCGAAGUCGAGAGAUGGAGCGAAUCCUAAAAAGCCGAUCCCAGUUCGGAUUGUGGGCUGAAACUCGCCCACAUGAAGUUGGAGUUGCUAGUAAUCGCGGAUCAGAAUGCCGCGGUGAAUGCGUUCCCGGGUCUUGUACACACCGCCCGU